This is a long non-coding RNA of Rhinopithecus roxellana (golden snub-nosed monkey), 968 nucleotides long. RefSeq lists it as uncharacterized. The transcript is spliced from 4 exons. Lineage: Eukaryota; Metazoa; Chordata; Mammalia; Primates; Cercopithecidae. The record is from RefSeq and is a predicted model, not a curated record.
CCACUGCACUCCAGCCUGGGCGACAGAGGGAGAGAAGGAGAAGGACAAGGACAAGGAGAAGGAAAAGAAGAAGAGGAGGAGGAGGAGGAGGAGGAAGAGGAGGAAGAACUCCACCAGCAGAUGGAGGCCUUAAGAAGCCACAUGUGUUCCUGCCUGCCCCUCUGCUAUAUGAAUGAAAAGAACAUGUGUAAGAAGAUUAGAGAUACAUGGAGGGACCAGGGCAAAGCACUCAUGGCACCGUGGAGGGAGUUAUCACAGGAGUGGCAGAGGACAAAGUGAUCAUGCCUGCGGAUACCUAGGGUUACAAAAUCAUCUGCUAUCUUCCUAGAAAAAGAUCUUGGAGCUCAUUCCAUAAGUGACUUGCAUUUCAACAGGAUUCUUCAAAAGUGACAAGAAAACACAGGAAACCAACACCAUUUUGAAUCGUUUUCUCAUGAAGCUGAUUGGCAAGCAUUCCUUCAUGAAAUCGCUCAGCACGUAAUCUGGCAUUCAUGAGCUGUAUGUAUGGAAAACUCAAGGAGUCUGAGGUGUGAGCAAUCAACUGAAGGCACAUCUUGUAAUGGCCAUUGAUUCUGUGAACAUUAGCAGCAUUAAUAUGUGCUUUGUGAUAAUAGAAGGUUUGUCAUUAUUUCAAUGUCACCGUUGGAGAUUAUGAGGCAUAGAAAAGUAUAGAGUAGGGAAAUGCAAAUUAAAAUAACAAUGAGACACAAUUUCAGAGCCAUUAGAUUGGCAACUUUUUCAAUCCUGAUAACACUAACUGUGGUGAGGGUGGAGAACCAGAAACAGGCUUUUAUACUCAGUCUGUGGGAGGGAAAAAUUGGAAUAAUUACAAUAGAGAACAAUUUUGCAGUGCUUAGUAAAGUUGAGACGUACAUAAUUUCAAUUCACCAAAUAUACUUUUUUUUUUAAGCAGGUUUUUUUGUUGUUCUUUUUGAGACAGAGUCUUGCUCUGUUGCCCAGGCUAGGGU